Long non-coding RNA from Phyllopteryx taeniolatus (common seadragon), 2526 nucleotides. RefSeq lists it as uncharacterized. The record is from RefSeq and is a predicted model, not a curated record. Lineage: Eukaryota; Metazoa; Chordata; Actinopteri; Syngnathiformes; Syngnathidae. The transcript has 2 exons.
CAAGCAGUAGCUGUGGCCGCACGGGAUGGUCACCGGGUCCCGCAGAACCUCCAGACACACCGAGCAGCUGAACUGGUCCUGUUCGAUGGAAAUAGUGGAAGUAGUCGCCGCCAUUUUGCUCCCGUGAGAGACGAAAGUGGGAGAGUGGGCGUGGCUUACAGCAGGCUGGAGGUCGGUCACGUCGGUGUGGACGGGCGAGUCGGGGGGAGCAACGAUCACCACUUCUCUCACUGAUGGAACACAAAGCGACACAAGUCCAUCAUAGCCCUGAAUAUAUUACAUGUCAGUGUGGUACACGUUUGCAUUCCUGGAAGUUGUCAACGGUGCAGAUAAAAAAAAUAAAAAAAUAAAAAUAAUAAAAUACAAAUGUAUCACCAACCGCUAUACAACCGAAUACAAUGAUUUGCAAAUCAGGUUCAACCUAUAUUCAAUUGAAUACACUACAAAGACAAGAUAUUUAAUGUUCAAACUGAUAAACUUUAUUGUUUUUAGCAAAUAAUCAUUAACUUGGAAUUUUAUGUCUGCAACACGUUCCAAAAAAGCUGGGACAGGGUCAUGUUUACCACGGUGUUACAUCACCUUUUCUUUUAACAGCAGUCAAUAAACGUUUGGGAACUGAGGACACUCAUUGUUGAAGCUUUGGAGGUGGAAUUCUUUCCCAUUCUUGCUUGAUGUACAGCUUCAGCCGUUCAACAGUCCGGGGUCUCCGUUGUCGUAUUUGACGCUUCAUAAUGCGCCACACAUUUUCAAUGGGAGACAGGUCUGGACUGGAGGCAGGCCAGUCUAGUAUGCGCACUUUACACACGUUUAUCAGUUUGAACAUUAAAUAUCUUGUCUUUGUAGUGUAUUCAAUUAAAUAUAGGUGGAACAUGAUUUACAAAUCAUUGUAUUCUGUUUUUAUUUGUGUUUAACACGACGUCCCAACUUCAUUGGAAUUGGGGUUGUAGUUGUACAGGUUAUAUGUCACAUAUUAAUGGUGGAAUUUUUUAAAUAAUUAUUUGUCUUGGUCUCACCUUUUUUUUUUACAUUCCCCCCAAAAAUCUGCCAUUUGAAAAGGUGUGUGUAGACUUUAUAUAUCCAUUGUAUUUACAUCCAUCUACCUAUCUGCCCAUUAUCCGUUCUAUUUAUCUAUCCAACAACCCAUGUAGUCUCCCCUUCCAUCAAUCAAUCUGUCCAUCCAUACACUUUAUAAUGUGUAAACCAUUUAACCAUCCAUGAAACAUUCUAUCGUUUACUGAAAAUGUUAAAAAAAAAAAAAAAAAAAAAAGUGCACCUUUCUCAUAGAUGCUGACGAAUCCUCCCUGGCAGACCUCUUGCAGCAGCGCUUUAAAAUCGCACACGGCUUUCGUCGCGGAGUCAAAUGUCAAGCCGGGCUCCACGGUGACAGCGGGCAGAGUCGACGACACUGGCGGAAGGGUGUCCAGCGCCUGGCAACUCUGUCACGACAGAAGACUCAAGUUGGAAUACAGCACAAAGAACAAGAAAAAUCGGUUUUCGUUUCGCUAAAUAUCUAAUUUGGAGGUGGCCGCCUCCAAUUGUAGAACCUCUGCCAUCAUGAAAAAUAUUAUUUGACCAGUGUUGACAAGGUUGGGUGUCAUUUUUAACGAAAAUUGCGGUAUUACGGCAAACAGUUGGAAGAAAUCGAAGUAGAACCACAAAUUAUGGAGUUUCUUUGCAACUGUGAUUCAUACGGUAGCGCCUCUGCCUCAAUUUGAGAAAAUCCUCUGCGGCUCGGCACUCUCACCCGGAGGAAGUGCAGGUGGUCGUCGGCGAAGGCCAGCCGGUCCAGCUCGGCCUCCCGCUUCUUCUGCUCGGCGAUCUCCUUGUGGAUCCUCUCCAGCAGCUGCUCGCCCUGACUCUCCACCAACUUCUGCUGGGCCUUGAUCAGCUCGCGCACCUCGAAACGCUUUAGCUCCACGCAGCGGAGAAGGUCGGUGAAGACGCUUUCGCUCGUCUCCGCCGCCAGCCGAGCUGACCGCUACGGGGUGGAGGAGGAGGUGUGGUGGGAUUUGUGACAUUUGCCAAGAAAAGGCCAGAGCAUCUGUGACUUACAUUGAUCGAGAAGAUGGCUUGUCUCAGCUCCUGAGUUUCCUUCUCUCGCUGCUUGAUGCUUUGCUGAGAGCUCAGCUUCAUCUCAGCGAGCUGUCUCUGUGGACCAGAAAAAUUAUUCCAAAAAAAUGGCACAUUUUGCAUCCAGUUGUACUUUAUGAUGUAUAAGGAAGACAUGAUUUUAUUCCAAUGGAGCAUCACAAAGCUUCAGCUAUCGAAUGUUUUUUAAUCCAGUAUUGCAUUGAUUAUCCCCUCAAUUAGUAUCUGUGACUUUGAGUGUGUAUGGCAUUUAAAAGGCGGAGCUUGGUCUGGUGAGUGACGUGGGCGUCAGCGAAUGAGAGCAUAUAGUUGGCUGACUGUUAACCGCCUAAUUUUUUAUCCUUGACUCGCGUGAGCUGUGGUCAUCGGCAGAUCGAGUACGAAUGUGCUAGUUACGCGUUUUCUCAUCGCUUGUUCAAUAAAACGAUGGAAAGCUCA